AACAUCGCCUCCUGCAAAAAUCAAUGUAUAGGAGGUCCUGCCUGCCCAGUGACAACUUGUUAAACGGCCGCGGUAUUUUGACCGUGCUAAGGUAGCGCAAUCACUUGUCUUUUAAAUGAAGACCUGUAUGAAUGGUGGAACGAGGGCUUAACUGUCUCCCUUCUCCCGUCAAUGAAAUUGAUCUGCCCGUGCAGAAGCGGGCAUAUAUAUACAAGACGAGAAGACCCUUUGGAGCUUAUUGGGGCGACCGCGGGGGAAAACAAAGCCCCCACGUAAAACCGAGAGAGACAUCUCUAAGCCACAGAACAUCUGACCAAAAGAUCCGGCCUACAAGCCGAUCAACGAACCAAGUUACCCUAGGGAUAACAGCGCAAUCCUUUCCAAGAGUUCAUAUCGACGAGAGGGUUUACGACCUCGAUGUUGGAUCAGGACAUCCUAAUGGUGCAGCCGCUAUUAAGGGUUCGUUUGUUCAACGAUUAAAGUCCUACGUGAU
RNAcentral lists this ribosomal RNA (493 nucleotides) under Cyphocharax spiluropsis. Its description in RNAcentral is "partial 16S ribosomal RNA". It matches the Rfam family "Bacterial large subunit ribosomal RNA", at positions 1812 to 2604 of the family's 2925-position model. Lineage: Eukaryota; Metazoa; Chordata; Actinopteri; Characiformes; Curimatidae. The record is from RNAcentral.